AAAUUGAAGAGUUUGAUCAUGGCUCAGAUUGAACGCUGGCGGCAGGCCUAACACAUGCAAGUCGAACGGUAACAGGAAGAAGCUUGCUUCUUUGCUGACGAGUGGCGGACGGGUGAGUAAUGUCUGGGAAACUGCCUGAUGGAGGGGGAUAACUACUGGAAACGGUAGCUAAUACCGCAUAACG
Molecule: ribosomal RNA, 184 nt
Filed under: Escherichia coli
Lineage: Bacteria; Pseudomonadati; Pseudomonadota; Gammaproteobacteria; Enterobacterales; Enterobacteriaceae
Also listed under: 1 other name
Description: partial 16S ribosomal RNA
Rfam family: Bacterial small subunit ribosomal RNA
Source: RNAcentral